This 2148-nucleotide long non-coding RNA is filed under the name Homo sapiens (human). RNAcentral describes it as "non-protein coding lnc-KCNS2-5:2". The record is from RNAcentral. Lineage: Eukaryota; Metazoa; Chordata; Mammalia; Primates; Hominidae.
CUUCUUCUGGUUAGAGGCUCCCAAGAGCAACAGGAAGGCCAGAAUAUGGGAAGCUGAUGAGGAUAGGAAACCCUUAGAAAUCAUACUGAGUCCCUGCUGAACCUCAGAGGCUGCAGGCCAACUGCUGUUCUGAAGUUCUGGACUUGCACAGCAAGCCUGUCUACUGAAUGGCCAUCACGACCCAGAUUUCACAUCUCCAGUGACUGCCAUGUCAACAAGGCAACUGUAGACCUCCCUCAGAGGAGGCAGGUGAAAGAAGACAGCCUUUCGGGGCAACUCUCUGGCUAAUGGGAAGCACAUUGAUGAAGGAAGCCGACUGACUUGAAAAAUCCAGCACCAGCAUGCAGGCUGCCUUUAAGGCUGGAGGAUUAUGGCCACUUGCAAUUUUCUUGCUAAUUAAAGUUUUCAUAGGAAAAGCAAACACAUAUCUACACAUGUAUGUAUGAACUUGCACGCUGAUUGUAUUUCAGAAGCAGUGGGCUGAAUGCUUUGGUUGCUGGCUUUCUUUGACUCCACCACUCACAUCUGCGCUGUGUCAUUGACAGCUCUGGCCAUGGCCCCAGGGCACUCUGCAGGGGUCAGAAUAAACAGAGAAAAACAGCAGUGGGGAGGACAGCACACUCUCUCCCUUGUUUGACUUGGAACUCCUGCCUGAGUCUUGCAAGAAGCAAUAUGUUGAAUUUUAAAAGAGGUGAAAACUACGUCAGUUACUGAGAGAGAAAUCUGAAAGAGCUAUAGCCUAUCUUCCUUUGCUGGGAUCUGGCCUGGGGUAUGGAGGCAGGUGCUCACUGCCACGGGAGUCCUCUGGAAACUGACUUACUUGGAAAGGGCAGGACUUCUCGCUGAAACAGUCUCUGCAGUUUCUCAAAAGUGGGUGGGGAUCCUGGGCCCCCAUAACAUGUCUACAUGGUUAAGAAGAAUGAGACAUCCAACCAGCAUUUAGGAUUGCAGAGAUUUGAAGGAGAAGCAGUUCAUUAUAGGAUCAUAAAGGGGCCCCCGUUCCUUGACAUGCUAACAUGGGAGCACACAGGUUCCCACACAAACCCCUAACACAUGGCAGGUGACUUGCAUAUGCACCCACACCUCCAUGGACAUGUCCAGGGUUAGGUUAGGUCAAAUCUAGGGAAUGGCAGCUGCAACCAAACCUAUGUCUCCUGCAUUCACAAAAGCGUGUCAGAAUGAAGGUAAGUUCCAGUAAUGUAACAGCAAAGGAACUCACAAUUAUCAUGCUUGAUUGUUUGUCACAGAUGAACUGUGAUGGUGCCAUCACAUCUGAUGGUGCCAUCUUGGAGGCAGCAGACCUGAUUUCCAGCCCUGGUCCUGGCUGUAACUUGGUGACCUUACGUAGGCCUUCUCGGAACAUUGAGCUCUUCAUCUGUGAAAGAGUGAGGUUGGGGCUGAUGGCCUCAAGGGCACUGGCAUAACUAACAUUCUCUAGGUCAAGCUCCUAUUGUACUUUGCAUCACUGGACAUGUCUGAGAUCCCUGGAAAUGAGGAUGUACCAGAAUUUCCAACUCUCUCGCUAUUCCUGCUGGGUCCUGCAACCCUUCUCCAGUGGAAGUUUUCUGCUCCCUUGAUUGCCAAAUAUCCUCUUAAUCUCCAUCCCUUCCCCCUAAUAUUCUGUCCUCAGGAAAGGAUGUGAUAAUUGUGUGCCCACUAAGUAUCAAUUACUAAAGCAGGAGGAAGAAUUACCUUUUAACAGAAUGAAGCUUUGAACCAAAGGAGUGAAGCCCUAAUUGCAUAAUUGCAGCUGGUGAGUUGAAGGGGAAGGUAUUUGGGAGUUAGGACCCUAAUUACAUAGAUGCCUAUCCUAUUGCUGAAGCCUAAAACGCUACCAUUAGCAACUAAGUUCUUUUACUAUUAAGGAUCUUCUCCCCACAAAAGCAAUGUAUUAAGAUUCAGCAGUCAUUUAAGGCCUUGGUAGGAGGGAGUUUUUUGGAUCUUUUUUUGUGUAUUUUUAAUACGGGGGUUCAGGGGAGGUGAGUGUGAAGGCUGGGCAGAAGGCUAGGUGGUUUAGCAGCUGGAGGAUGUAAGAUGAAUGUCCUGAAGGGGAAAAAAACAAAGGGCAGGCCUGGGAUUCCAGAAAAUAAGUUUCAUGUGCCCUACAAUUGUGAUGAGGGUCUGCCUUGCACUGGGAGCUCCCUUGCA